RNAcentral lists this long non-coding RNA (229 nucleotides) under Lupinus angustifolius (narrow-leaved blue lupine). RNAcentral's name for it is "long non-coding RNA (LANG_LNC000672)". Lineage: Eukaryota; Viridiplantae; Streptophyta; Magnoliopsida; Fabales; Fabaceae. The record is from RNAcentral.
CCCUUAUAACCUCAACUACUUGAAAAUACAAAUCAAAAACACUAACAACAGAUAACAGACUCAACAUAAUUGCUACAACUACAACUUUUUUGGACCACAUCAUGUGUUCUUUCAUGAUUAUUUGAAUUUCUUUUUUAUUAGCUUGCAAAUCAUCCAUGUCUAUAGCAUUAUCCAUCUCAUUUUCUUCCUUCAUGGCUUAAUUUUUUCCCCAAUCUUUAACCCACAUUAA